RNAcentral lists this ribosomal RNA (497 nucleotides) under uncultured bacterium. RNAcentral describes it as "partial 16S ribosomal RNA". It matches the Rfam family "Bacterial small subunit ribosomal RNA", at positions 28 to 507 of the family's 1533-position model. The record is from RNAcentral.
GAUGAACGCUGGCGGCGUGCCUAAUACAUGCAAGUCGAGCGAACAGAUGAGGAGCUUGCUCCUCUGACGUUAGCGGCGGACGGGUGAGUAACACGUGGAUAACCUACCUAUAAGACUGGGAUAACUUCGGGAAACCGGAGCUAAUACCGGAUAAUAUAUUGAACCGCAUGGUUCAAUAGUGAAAGACGGUUUUGCUGUCACUUAUAGAUGGAUCCGCGCCGCAUUAGCUAGUUGGUAAGGUAACGGCUUGCCAAGGCAACGAUGCGUAGCCGACCUGAGAGGGUGAUCGGCCACACUGGAACUGAGACACGGUCCAGACUCCUACGGGAGGCAGCAGUAGGGAAUCUUCCGCAAUGGGCGAAAGCCUGACGGAGCAACGCCGCGUGAGUGAUGAAGGUCUUCGGAUCGUAAAACUCUGUUAUUAGGGAAGAACAAAUGUGUAAGUAACUAUGCACGUCUUGACGGUACCUAAUAAGAAAGCCACGGCUAACUACGUG